Molecule: long non-coding RNA, 402 nt
Organism: Limulus polyphemus (Atlantic horseshoe crab)
Lineage: Eukaryota; Metazoa; Arthropoda; Merostomata; Xiphosura; Limulidae
Exons: 3
Source: RefSeq, a predicted model, not a curated record
GAAACUAUGAACCUUGUGAUUGCGUUUCCUGAAGAAGUUCGCUUCAUGCUUAUUUCCGUGAGCAGAAUUUAGUACUGGAAUGUUUGUGAGGUGCUGGCAAUAUUCGAGAAGGACAUACUUUUUGUGAAAUGAACCUCUUCCCAAAGUUGUGAUCGGCGAUGCGUCUCGGGUCAUUUGUUGGUCACUGUUUACCUUGUAAGUGGUUUAUACUGAUGAACUGUAUGAUCUGGUUAUGCGCAGAUGGUCAGAGAGGCUAUCACCGCUAUCCAUAUAAGGCCACCAGGAGGAGUACUUCGGAAGAAACAUGCUUUUAUAAUGGAUCUCACCAACGUUGUUCCUUUUCUCUUUAUUGCUUGCUGACAGGAGGCACAUCUGUAUCUUCCUGUGGGAACAGUUUGCUGU